UACGUAGGCAGCAAGCGUUGUUCGGAGUUACUGGGCGUAAAGGGUGCGUAGGCGGCUUUUUAAGUUUGGUGUGAAAUCUCCCGGCUCAACUGGGAGGGUGCGCCGAAUACUGAGAGGCUAGAGUGCGGGAGAGGAAAGUGGAAUUCCUGGUGUAGCGGUGAAAUGCGUAGAUAUCAGGAGGAACACCGGUGGUGUAGACGGCUUUCCGGACCAUAACUGACGCUGAGACACGAAAGCGUGGGUAGCAAACAGG
This 253-nucleotide ribosomal RNA is filed under the name uncultured bacterium. Its description in RNAcentral is "partial 16S ribosomal RNA". It matches the Rfam family "Bacterial small subunit ribosomal RNA", at positions 524 to 776 of the family's 1533-position model. The record is from RNAcentral.